RNAcentral lists this ribosomal RNA (330 nucleotides) under uncultured bacterium. Its description in RNAcentral is "bacterial SSU rRNA". It matches the Rfam family "Bacterial small subunit ribosomal RNA", at positions 568 to 898 of the family's 1533-position model. The record is from RNAcentral.
UCCGUAGGCGGUGUGGCAAGUCGGAAGUGAAAUCUCUGGGCUUAACUCAGAGGCUGCUUCCGAAACUGCCGUGCUAGAGUGCGAGAGAGGCAAGUGGAAUUGCGGGUGUAGCGGUGAAAUGCGUAGAUAUCCGCAGGAACAUCCGAGGCGAAAGCGGCUUGCUGGAUCGCAACUGACGCUGAGGGACGAAAGCUAGGGGAGCAAACAGGAUUAGAUACCCUGGUAGUCCUAGCCCUAAACCAUCAGGACUUAGGGUUUGCCCUGUACGGGGCAAGUCCCGUAGCUAACGCGUUAAGUCCUGCGCCUGGGGAGUACGGUCGCAAGGCUGAA